RNAcentral lists this ribosomal RNA (685 nucleotides) under Nocardioides sp. PE-R2A-17. RNAcentral's name for it is "bacterial SSU rRNA". It matches the Rfam family "Bacterial small subunit ribosomal RNA", at positions 103 to 802 of the family's 1533-position model. Lineage: Bacteria; Bacillati; Actinomycetota; Actinomycetes; Propionibacteriales; Nocardioidaceae. The record is from RNAcentral.
CGGGUGAGUAACACGUGAGUAAUCUGCCCCUGGCUUUGGGAUAGCCACCGGAAACGGUGAUUAAUACCGGAUAUGACCACUUCACGCAUGUGAUGGUGGUGGAAAGUUUUUCGGCCAGGGAUGUGCUCGCGGCCUAUCAGCUUGAUGGUGAGGUAAUGGCUCACCAUGGCUUCGACGGGUAGCCGGCCUGAGAGGGUGACCGGUCACACUGGGACUGAGACACGGCCCAGACUCCUACGGGAGGCAGCAGUGGGGAAUAUUGGACAAUGGGCGGAAGCCUGAUCCAGCAACGCCGCGUGAGGGAUGACGGCCUUCGGGUUGUAAACCUCUUUCGGUGGGGACGAAGCGCAAGUGACGGUACCCACUAAAGAAGCACCGGCCAACUACGUGCCAGCAGCCGCGGUAAUACGUAGGGUGCGAGCGUUGUCCGGAAUUAUUGGGCGUAAAGGGCUCGUAGGCGGUUUGUCGCGUCGGGAGUGAAAACGCCGUGCUUAACACGGCGCUUGCUUCCGAUACGGGCAGACUAGAGGUAUUCAGGGGAGAACGGAAUUCCUGGUGUAGCGGUGAAAUGCGCAGAUAUCAGGAGGAACACCGGUGGCGAAGGCGGUUCUCUGGGAAUGACCUGACGCUGAGGAGCGAAAGUGUGGGGAGCGAACAGGAUUAGAUACCCUGGUAGUCCACACCG